Long non-coding RNA from Solenopsis invicta (red fire ant), 5519 nucleotides. RefSeq lists it as uncharacterized. The record is from RefSeq and is a predicted model, not a curated record. The transcript is spliced from 2 exons. Lineage: Eukaryota; Metazoa; Arthropoda; Insecta; Hymenoptera; Formicidae.
UCUUGUUUCGCAAUUAUGAAACAAUAAAACUUAAUAAUUCUAACAGUAAUAAUUAAUAACAUUCUUAGGAAUAAACUGUGUAGUAAAAAUCAAUAUUAUGUGAAAUCAAUAAUAAAUGAUAAACCGAUUAAUGUGCUGUGGAAUUACGUGCCUGAGCGCGCCAAUACUACGCGACAUUACUGGUUAUCUUUGAUUGGUUAUAAUUCAAAAACUAUUGCAGUUUCGACAUUUUUGUAUUAAGAUUUUUUGCUUCACUUUACCUCCAGAAUACACCGUUAAAAUAUUGCUCGGUGAUUGCAAAACACCUUGUAUAUACAGUAUUUGUAUUAUAAUAAUACAAAAAAUAAGGAAAAAAUAACCUUUUCUUAAACAAGUGUUUAUUUUAUUCCUUUUUUUUGUUACUAAAGUUACAUACUAUACAUUUUUUGUAUUUUGUAUUUUUUGUUAUAGAUUUCUUUUUUUGGAAACAAGAAACUACUUCUGCAUUAGAACAUUUUUUAAUAAGAAGCUGCUUUUUGCCUGGUACAGAAAAAAAGUAAUGACAUUUUUGUGUCACUGGCACUGCUUUAACUUCUAAGAACUUGUCUGAAAGAGUUUUUUAUAGAUUUAUGUCCUCAACCACCACAAUAGUUUUUUGUAAAUAUUCUUUUUGGAAUGAUUUUUUCACACAAGAUUGAUAUUGUUUUAAUUGACAUUGUUUUUGAUUAUAAUGGCAGAUCCAUGAGUCGUGUCAUCUGGAUGUAUCGUGUCAUAUAUAUUGUAUUUGUGCAUACAAAAGUAUUUUCUAUUUGUGAAACGCAUUUUAGAGAUAAGCAUAACGUCUAUAUUGUAGUUUAAUAAAAAAUAUUUUAACUUGCGUGUGUUUUGACAGCUCAUUGGUGUUUCAAAUUCCUAUUAUAAUAUUUUAUUAACUAGAGCAGUUAGUAUGUUCAACAUGGCGCUUAUUUUGUCCUUGAGUUCUAUCAUCAUGGCCUUGAAUUCGAGCAUAUCCCCAUAUCCCCCAUUGACUUUCGAACUUGUAUUCCUUACCUCUCUAGUCGUUUUACUUCUAACUGGAGUGCUUGGAGCGAUUUGUUCUUGUAUAACCUAUGUUCCCAUGUAUGCAUAUGUUCGCCUUUGUUGUACUUGUGAGAUUGAUUUUGAGAAUGUAAUCUGCAGGUUAUUCUAUUCCAUUUCAGCAUCUUGCGUUCGUGCAGCAGUUCUUUUUUACGUAGAAUUGGAUGUUUGCAUACCUGUAGAUUUUUAUAAAUCAUACAGCCUUUGUAAUUAACAGGGUGAUUACUCUUGCACAACACACAUUUGAUAUUAUUUGAUCUUAGGUGGGAAGUCUACAUAUAGUGGAAUGAUGAACUGCGUUUAACACAUCUUGUUUUUCAGCGGCAAAAACUUUUAGUGUGGCCAUAGUGCUGACAAUUAGCACAUUGGGGUAUUUCUCGUCUUUGAUGUGGAGAUUUGAACGUAACUUUACACUAUAGCAAAAUUUUAAUAUAUUUGUUUGUUUGGUCAGGUUUAAGUUUAAAGACAUUAGUAGAGGUUCUUUGGUAGUUCUUUGCUUAAUGUUCCAGAUGUUGACUAUAUAAGGUUUGUUUGCGUCGCAUGCUCUAAGAGCACUUGAAUCACUUGGAUCACUUUUAUCACCAAUCACAGCAUUAGAACUAAUGUCUGUAUUUGGUUAUUUUGUUACUUAAUUCGCGUACGUCACACAGUGGACCAAAAUCCCGAAAAAAUAACGAAAAUAUGAAAGUGUUUUUUGAUUUGCUUGAAAUUUGAUAUCCUAGGGUUUUUGAGGUCGUUGAUUACGAAUCUGAAAUCAAAAUAGCAAAAAACAAAAAUUCAAUUUAGAUAAAUGUAUUUUAAAUAUGUUUAAUGUAGUUGAAAUUUGAUAUUCUGGAAUUUUUGAAGUUGCUAAUUAUGAAUUUAAACUUCAAGUUGCAAAAAAAUACAAUGGCAAAUUCAGUAUAGCGGAAACAUGUACUUUAAAUAUGUUUAAUGUAAUCGAAAUUUGAUACCUGAGGUUUUUAAAGUCCAAAAUCUUUUUUUCUUUAUAGUACUGUAUCAUUGUAUAAUAACAAAAGAUCCACAAACAGAACGACUAUCUGAAUGCUGCGGCAUGAUCUGCUUAUUCUAUGUCGCUAGCGAUUGAUACUGAAACUUACAGCACAGAGCGCUCGUACAAAAAAAUUGUCGCAAAACCAGAAGAGCAGAUAUAAGCAGCUAAAUUUUUUUUUAUUCGAAAGAGAGAAAUAUAAACUAAAAGAUGUUUCAGUAACAUCUCGGAAUGAGGUGGAAUAUAUAACUAUUUGGGUACUUAAAAAUUUAAUUUUUUUAAAAUAUAUAAUUUCUUACUGAUUUAAAUUUAACUUAAAAUCUAUUAUAGUGCUUUCCAAUAAAGGCGAUAAAUUAAAUUGAAAGAAAUUUAAUUUUUAAUUAAUUUUUUUUUUAAUGGAUUGAAAUGACUUUAUUAUGAUGUAAAUUUUAUGCCAUUUAUUUUUUAAACAAAAUAUUCAAAUGGCCAUUGCGGUUCUUUUUGCACUGGGUGAUCCGAUCAGGCCAACUUUUGAUGACUCUGUGCAGCAUAUCGGGUGGUAUGGCGGCAAUGGUUGCACAAAUUUUUGUUUCAAGUUCAUCAAGAGUUUUGAGCUUGAUUGUGUAAACCUGUGAUUUAACAUAGCCUCACAGAAAAAAGCGAUGUUAAAUUACACGAUCUUAGUGGCCAGUUGUUAGGGCCAUUUUUUGAAAUGAGUAACUCACCGAACUUUUCACACAAUAAAUUUAUUGUAAGGCCCGUUGUGUCACAAGGAGCACCGUCUUAUUGGAAAAUAAUGUCGUCUUCAUCAAUUUUAUUAACUUUUGGGAAGAAAAACUCGGUAAGCAUACCACGAUAGAGCUCACUAUUCAUAUAACGGAUCAGCCCUCUUUAUUUUUAAAGAAGUACGAACCAAGAUGCCAUUAUACCAUAAUCCGCACUAGUGAUUUUUUGAGGAUGUAAUGGUGUCUCGUGAAUCACUUGAGGGUUUGACGCGCACCAGUAUCGACAAUUUUGUUUGUUGACACUACGUACAAAACGCUCUUUGAGUAGCAACAAAACUUCUCGAAUUUUGAUAGAAAAUUUGGAUAAUUUUCAAAUGUUGUGGCAAUGUGAACUUAUUCAUGAUGAAAUGGCAAAUCUACUGAUGACAACAAACGUUAGAUGUCAAAGAUUGCAUUUCAAAUAUGGCCGCAGUACACUUUCGAAAUCCUAUCAUCUCUAUUGGAAAGCACUGUAUAUAUAACACAUAUAAAAAGAUUACAUUAUUAUCGUCUUUUGUUAUACUUACCUCCAGGAAUAAAAUCCAUUUUGCAGAAUUGAAUUUGCGCAUUUCGUUUUCGAAAUAAGCAUACAAGACUAGAUAUAAAAUAUUUGUUAUUCUUACUGUUACGUCUGUUCCGUAUAAAGGGCAACUUUGAACUGAAAUGAAAAUUUAAGUAUAGAUGAAAUAAUUUUAGGGUUGGCAACAUUUAAUAGGGAAUUUAGUUCUUUUUUAGAAAAUGUAAUAAUAUUCUCGAAAAUUUGAAAUUCUUUUUUUGACUUUUGACCAGCUUUUCGGGAUUUUGGCCCACUGGGCGUCAAUAAAAAAUUGCAUAUUUUUUAAUACAACGUAUUUGGUUUAGGCUUUUAUACCUGUAGGACAUUUGUACAGUGCCCAGUCAGUAAGUAUCAAUUUUUGCUUGUUUAUCUUUUUGUAACGCCUGCUCAGGACUAUAUCGUUUUCUCUUUUUUGUUAUAUUUAUACAGUUUUACAGUUCCAAGGAGAUAUUUGUUUUGCACUCAUGUACUUGAAAAAGACCGUUUAAGCCUGCAUUGUUAUCCUCCUGUAGCUAUGCAUCCUUCAGCACGGAACUGACACUUUGGGUUAGGAGUUGGUUUUCUAUAGAGAUUUUCCUUUCCUUAGUUGGUUUGCUCUCGUUUUUAGGCGACAGAGACUCGCCUUUUGCCCUUCAUCUAUCUGCUAGGACCGAAGUCACAUCCAGGGUUGGCAACAAGGACACUAGAUAAGAAGACUUGGUGACUAUUGACGUUGAUAUGCAAUGCACUGUUUCACAGCUUUUUAUAAAUGCACUUCGCGCACCAUUGUGGCCUAAUCACCUAUUUGAAUCCCUCAUUGAAUAAUAUAGUAUGUACUUGAAUAAUAAUCUUUGAAUAAUAUGUACUGAAAUAAUGAACUCUGAAUAAUAUUAGUCUUCGAGAACGUUAAAACUAUUUGUGAUAAAAUAAUUUACGUACUUACCAUGCAAAAAGCAGCUUUUUAUUAACAACAUUUUCUAAUGCAGAAAACAGUUUCUUUGUGUUUCCAAAGAAUAAAUCUAUAAUAAAAUAAAAAAUAAAAAAUACAAAGAUUAUAGGAUGUAACUUUAGCAAUAAAAAAGUAAUAAAAUAAAUACUCGUUUAAAAACUAAGACUAUUUUUUCAUUAUCUUUUGUAUUUAAGAUCAAGACGACAAACAUAACAACCGUUAACAGGAAACGAUUUUUUCCUGUUGCGCACAUUAAUCGCCUCACGCGAAUCGAUAUUAGUCAUUUCUUCAGGGCGAGCGCACAACAUUGCCUCCCUUUUUCAAAGUUGUCGUCCCGUCAACUAAUUCAGAGGGCCGAAAGAUUCCUCACGACUUGUUGUUUGCUCAUAUUCUUCAUCUUGAGUCUUGUGCGCUUGUUUCUUUAUUCUUCGGACAAAGAAGGGGAAUAAACUUUCAGGAACCCAACGCUUUCCAGGCUUCCCAUGUCCCUGCCUCGGCAUUUGCCCUUAGGCCCACGGCAAAACCCCGAAUCAAAAACCGGGGCAAGACGGUCUUCUUAAAAAGAAAUAUGGCAAUGCUUCACACGAAGAAAGUCACCUCGCACGAAUCUUAAAAUUGAAAUUAAAACAGAAUCCGACGAGUAUCUCACUUAAAAUAAAAUAAACCUGUAAAGGAAAAACUUUUUUACUCACGAAUUCUCGUCUCCUAUAUCUUAAACAAAAUUUAAGACAAAAUUCUCGCAAAAAGACCUAACGACUCUCCGCUUCACCCUGAGCUCCUGACUCAGACCACCGAGCGCCGCCCUCUGCGAUCCAGAAGAAAAAGAAUCAAAGCUCACUCUCAGCUCCUGACUGAAAAACAAUUUCUAGAAUUCAUCUUCCAAGGUGAGGAUUUCCAGGCAAAAUCGACGACCUUUACCCCGGGCCACUACCACGAGUUACCGAGCGUUGCCAGCGUCACUCCCAAACCAACAACUUUCUAGAAGAGAAAGAAAUCUUAAACUCUCUUCUUCUCCCCCAGCUUUUGCCACGGGUAACCGAGUGUCGUCUUCCGCAAAUCAGAUCAAAAUGAUGACCUCCUGCCCUAUCCUGGGCUCCUGCCACAGGUUACCGAGCGCCGUCCAAGUUCCAAACCAACGUCUUUCUGCAAGAAAGGAACCGGCUCCCUCCCUCCUGGGACGAAAUCUCAAUCCCGAAAAGAAGAAAUUCUAAGCUAAAACUAUAACUCUCUCUCUCUCUCUCUCUC